AGAGUUUGAUCAUGGCUCAGGAUGAACGCUAGCGGCAGGCUUAACACAUGCAAGUCGAGGGGCAUCACGAGUAGCAAUACUUGGUGGCGACCGGCGCAAGGGUGCGUAACGCGUGAGCAACAUGCCCGUAUCAGGGGGAUAAUCCAGGGAAACUUGGUCUAAUACCCCAUAGCAAUUGAAGGAGGCAUCUUCUUUGAUUUAAAGCUUUGGUGGAUACGGAUUGGCUCGCGUGACAUUAGCUAGAUGGUAAGGUAACGGCUUACCAUGGCUACGAUGCCUAGGGGUUCUGAGAGGAAGGUCCCCCACACUGGAACUGAGACACGGUCCAGACUCCUACGGGAGGCAGCAGUGAGGAAUAUUGGACAAUGGAUGGAAAUCUGAUCCAGCCAUGCCGCGUGCAGGAAGACGGCCCUAUGGGUUGUAAACUGCUUUUAUAUGGGAGCAAUAAGACCUACGUGUAGGUCGAUGAGAGUACCAUAUGAAUAAGCACCGGCUAACUCCGUGCCAGCAGCCGCGGUAAUACGGAGGGUGCAAGCGUUAUCCGGAUUUAUUGGGUUUAAAGGGUGCGUAGGCGGUUUGAUAAGUCAGCGGUGAAAUAUUUCAGCUUAACUGGAAGGGUGCCGUUGAUACUGUCGAGCUUGAAUUUAGUUGCUGUGGGUGGAAUGUGUGGUGUAGCGGUGAAAUGCAUAGAUAUCACACAGAAUAUCGAUUGCGAAGGCAGCUCACAAAGCUAAUAUUGACGCUGAUGCACGAAAGUGUGGGGAUCAAACAGGAUUAGAUACCCUGGUAGUCCACACUGUAAACGAUGAUAACUCGCUGUCGGCGAUACACAGUCGGUGGCCAAGCGAAAGCGAUAAGUUAUCCACCUGGGGAAGUACGACCGCAAGGUUGAAACUCAAAUGAAUUGACGG
RNAcentral lists this ribosomal RNA (911 nucleotides) under uncultured Bacteroidota bacterium. Its description in RNAcentral is "bacterial SSU rRNA". It matches the Rfam family "Bacterial small subunit ribosomal RNA", at positions 8 to 916 of the family's 1533-position model. The record is from RNAcentral. Lineage: Bacteria; Pseudomonadati; Bacteroidota.